AUCCAGGCAUUGCAGAAAUGAUGCCAUGAUCAUGAAGUUGGUUUCCCUAGGGUGAAGCUUAGUCAUUUCACUCCAGUUGUACUGACCCCUGUGGUGCCCCCAAAUGUGGGAAAGUCAACUGCAUAAUUUCUGCUAGUGGAAGACUGUUCAAGCUCUCUCUCCAA
Molecule: small nuclear RNA, 164 nt
Organism: Mastomys coucha (southern multimammate mouse)
Lineage: Eukaryota; Metazoa; Chordata; Mammalia; Rodentia; Muridae
Product: U1 spliceosomal RNA
Exons: 1
Source: RefSeq, a predicted model, not a curated record